This 430-nucleotide ribosomal RNA is filed under the name Limosilactobacillus fermentum. RNAcentral describes it as "bacterial SSU rRNA". It matches the Rfam family "Bacterial small subunit ribosomal RNA", at positions 354 to 776 of the family's 1533-position model. Lineage: Bacteria; Bacillati; Bacillota; Bacilli; Lactobacillales; Lactobacillaceae. The record is from RNAcentral.
GUAGGGAAUCUUCCACAAUGGGCGCAAGCCUGAUGGAGCAACACCGCGUGAGUGAAGAAGGGUUUCGGCUCGUAAAGCUCUGUUGUUAAAGAAGAACACGUAUGAGAGUAACUGUUCAUACGUUGACGGUAUUUAACCAGAAAGUCACGGCUAACUACGUGCCAGCAGCCGCGGUAAUACGUAGGUGGCAAGCGUUAUCCGGAUUUAUUGGGCGUAAAGAGAGUGCAGGCGGUUUUCUAAGUCUGAUGUGAAAGCCUUCGGCUUAACCGGAGAAGUGCAUCGGAAACUGGAUAACUUGAGUGCAGAAGAGGGUAGUGGAACUCCAUGUGUAGCGGUGGAAUGCGUAGAUAUAUGGAAGAACACCAGUGGCGAAGGCGGCUACCUGGUCUGCAACUGACGCUGAGACUCGAAAGCAUGGGUAGCGAACAGG